RNAcentral lists this small RNA (873 nucleotides) under Pongo abelii (Sumatran orangutan). RNAcentral's name for it is "retained intron". Lineage: Eukaryota; Metazoa; Chordata; Mammalia; Primates; Hominidae. The record is from RNAcentral.
UUUGUGAUAGCAGGUGCAGUUUGAGUACUACAGUAAACGUUCAGUUUCGGAACUUUUUCUUUUACCUGCUAAAACCAAAGAGGACCUUUUUUUAUUUUUACUUCUGAUUGUUGAACAGUCUUAAGGCAGCAUUAGGAAGACUGGUGAUUUGUGUGGAGAAAUGAUGACUUGUUGUUUAUGCAUACUUUGUGUGUCCAGUGCUUACCUGGAAUUUUGUCUUUCUCAACAGCAACAAUGGUGUGGUUGGUGAAUAUGGCAGAAGGAGACCCGGAAGCCCAAAGGAGAGUAUCCAAAAAUUCCAAGUAUAAUGCAGAAAGCACAGAAAGGGAGUCACAAGACACUGUUGCAGAGAAUGAUGAUGGCGGCUUCAGUGAGGAAUGGGAAGCCCAGAGGGACAGUCAUCUAGGGCCUCAUCGCUCUACACCUGAGUCACGAGCUGCUGUCCAGGAACUUUCCAGCAGUAUCCUCGCUGGUGAAGACCCAGAGGAAAGGGGAGUAAAACUUGGAUUGGGAGAUUUCAUUUUCUACAGUGUUCUGGUUGGUAAAGCCUCAGCAACAGCCAGUGGAGACUGGAACACAACCAUAGCCUGUUUUGUAGCCAUAUUAAUUGGUUUGUGCCUUACAUUAUUACUCCUCGCCAUUUUCAAGAAAGCAUUGCCAGCUCUUCCAAUCUCCAUCACCUUUGGGCUUGUUUUCUACUUUGCCACAGAUUAUCUUGUACAGCCUUUUAUGGACCAAUUAGCAUUCCAUCAAUUUUAUAUCUAGCAUAUUUGCAGUUAGAAUCCCAUGGAUGUUUCUCCUUUGACUAUAACAAAAUCUGGGGAGGACAAAGGUGAUUUUCCUGUGUCCACAUCUAACAAAAGUCAAGAUUCC